AUGGGUGUUGGUUCCGCCGGCGCUGUUGUGUCGUGCGUCGUCCUAGGCUUAGCCCUGCUCGUCGUUGGGGCGGCGGCAGCCAAGAGCAGCCCAAACUCCUGCAAGGCGUUGUGCCGUGGCCGGGAGGACUACAAACCCUGCCACGCCGCGUGCCUGUGGGCGUGCAUCUGGGAUCCCAUGGGAGGACACAAGGAGAAACGGCAGUAG
This 207-nucleotide ribosomal RNA is filed under the name Triticum aestivum (bread wheat). Its description in RNAcentral is "partial small subunit ribosomal RNA". The record is from RNAcentral. Lineage: Eukaryota; Viridiplantae; Streptophyta; Magnoliopsida; Poales; Poaceae.